This 501-nucleotide ribosomal RNA is filed under the name uncultured bacterium. Its description in RNAcentral is "partial 16S ribosomal RNA". It matches the Rfam family "Bacterial small subunit ribosomal RNA", at positions 30 to 523 of the family's 1533-position model. The record is from RNAcentral.
AUUGAACGCUGGCGGCAUGCCUUACACAUGCAAGUCGAACGGCAGCACGGGUGCUUGCACCUGGUGGCGAGUGGCGAACGGGUGAGUAAUACAUCGGAACGUACAUUAUCGUGGGGGAUAACGCCGCGAAAGCUGUGCUAUUACCGCAUACGCCCUGAGGGGGAACGCGGGGCAUCGCAAGACCUCGCGCGAUUAGAGCGGCCGAUGCCUGAUUAGCUGGUUGGUGGGGUAAAAGCCCACCAAGGCGACGAUCAGUAGCUGGUCUGCGAGGACGAUCAGCCACACUGGGACUGAGACACGGCCCAGACUCCUACGGGAGGCAGCAGUGGGGAAUUUUGGACAAUGGGGGCAACCCUGAUCCAGCAAUGCCGCGUGAGUGAAGAAGGCCUUCGGGUUGUAAAGCUCUUUUGUCAGGGAAGAAACACCGGCUCUAACACAGUCUGGGAAUGACGGUACCUGAAGAAUAAGCACCGGCUAACUACGUGCCAGCCGCCGCCGUAA